Molecule: ribosomal RNA, 253 nt
Filed under: uncultured bacterium
Lineage: Bacteria
Description: partial 16S ribosomal RNA
Rfam family: Bacterial small subunit ribosomal RNA
Source: RNAcentral
UACGUAGGGGGCAAGCGUUGUCCGGAUUUACUGGGUGUAAAGGGCGCGUAGGUGGGUUUGUAAGUCAGAGGUGAAAUCCUGCAGCUUAACUGUAGAACUGCCUCUGAUACUGCAAAUCUUGAGUUCAGAAGAGAGAAGCGGAAUUCCAGGUGUAGUAGUGAAAUACGUAGAUAUCUGGAAGAACACCAGUGGCGAAGGCGGCUUCUUGGUCUGUAACUGACACUGAGGCGCGAAAGCGUGGGGAGCUAACAGG